ACGGCUCAGUAACACGUGGAUAACCUGCCCUAAGGUGGAGGAUAACCCCGGGAAACUGGGGAUAAUACUCCAUAGGUUAAAGGUACUGGAAUGUUCUUUAACCGAAAGUUCCGGCGCCUUAGGAUGGAUCUGCGGCCGAUUAGGUUGUUGUUGGGGUAGUGGCCCAACAAGCCUGUAAUCGGUACGGGUUGUGGGAGCAAGAGCCCGGAGAUGGAAUCUGAGACACGAUUCCAGGCCCUACGGGGCGUAGCAGGCGCGAAAACUUUACAAUGCAGGAAACUGUGAUAAGGGAACCCCGAGUGCCCGUAUAUGCGGGCUGUCCGGAUGUUUAAAACGCAUCCGAAGAAAGGGCCGGGCAAGACCGGUGCCAGCCGCCGCGGUAAUACCGGCGGCUCGAGUGGUGGCCACUUUUAUUGGGCUUAAAGCGUUCGUAGCUUGAAUAAUAAGUCUCAUGGGAAAUCUGCAGGCUUAACCUGCACGCGUUUAAGAGAAACUGUUGUUCUAGGAACCGGAAGAGGUGAGAGGUACUCCGGGGGUAGGAGUGAAAUCCUGUAAUCCCCGGGGGACCACCGAUGGCGAACGCAUCUCACCACGACGGCUUCGGACAGUGAGGAACGAAAGCUGGGGGAGCGAACCGGAUUAGAUACCCCGGGUAGUCGCAGCCGUAAACGAUGUGCGUUAGGUGUGCCGGUGACCACGAGUCACUGGUGGUGCCGAAUGGCACAUCGUGAAACGUACUGCCUGGGAAUUACCGUCAGCUAACGCUGAAACUUAAA
This 776-nucleotide ribosomal RNA is filed under the name uncultured archaeon. RNAcentral describes it as "bacterial SSU rRNA". It matches the Rfam family "Archaeal small subunit ribosomal RNA", at positions 85 to 860 of the family's 1478-position model. The record is from RNAcentral.